RNAcentral lists this transfer RNA (71 nucleotides) under Bos taurus (domestic cattle). It matches the Rfam family "tRNA". From Rfam's summary of the family: Transfer RNA (tRNA) molecules are approximately 80 nucleotides in length. The record is from Rfam by way of RNAcentral. Lineage: Eukaryota; Metazoa; Chordata; Mammalia; Artiodactyla; Bovidae.
UCCCCAGUGGCUCAGUGGUAAAGAAUCUGCCUGCAAUGCAGGAAACACCAGUUUGAUCCCUGGUUUGGGAA